Molecule: small nuclear RNA, 108 nt
Filed under: Carlito syrichta (Philippine tarsier)
Lineage: Eukaryota; Metazoa; Chordata; Mammalia; Primates; Tarsiidae
Source: RNAcentral
GUGCUUGCUUCAGCAGCACAUAUACUAAAAUUGUGAAUGACACAGAGAAGAUUAGUAUGGUCCUUGAGCAAGGAUGACAUGCAAAUUUGUGAAGUGCUCCAUCAUCAG